Molecule: long non-coding RNA, 1158 nt
Organism: Dalotia coriaria
Lineage: Eukaryota; Metazoa; Arthropoda; Insecta; Coleoptera; Staphylinidae
Exons: 17
Source: RefSeq, a predicted model, not a curated record
UAGAUUGUACGUUUACAUUAAGUAUGUUUUUUUGUUUUUGUUAAUUUAAUAUAAUUUUGUUCCCGCUUAACUUGAUUGUAAACUUGAUGUUCACUUACCUUAAUAUUUAGUUCUUUUUCGUAAACGUGUAGUGAAACUAGUUGAAGAAUGAUAAUCAGUUUCAGUAAAUUCACUUAUAAUUUUGCCUGCAAAUAUUUGCAAAACUGGACGCAUAUGGGAGAAAGUGUCACUAAACUAAACUUGCGCAUAUUUUUUAAGAUAAAGCCUUCACUAUUACGUCUUUUUGAGGAAUCCGCAAUAAAAGAUUUUCGACCUGAGCCCGAUAUAGAAGAACCAUUCUUGCAUCUGAUUGGAUUUUUGACAUGAGCCCGAUAUCAUAGAAGAACCAUUCUUGCAUCAAUUUGGAUUUUCGACCUGAGCCCGAUAUCAUAGAAGAACCAUUCUUGCAUCAGAUUGUGGGGAUUUUGGACAUGAGCUCGAUAUCAUAGAAGAACAAUUCUUGCAUUCAUUUCACUAACUUUUGAUUGUGUAAGGGAUUUUCGACCUGAGCCCGAUAUCAUAGAAGAACCAUUCUUGCAUCAGAUUGGAUUUUGGACAUGAGCUCGAUAUCAUAGAAGAACAAUUCUUGCAUUCAUUUGGAUUUUUGACCUGAGCCCAAUAUCAUAGAAGAACCAUUCUUGCAUCAGAUUGGAUUUUGGACAUGAGCUCGAUAUCAUAGAAGAACAAUUCUUGCAAUCAUUUGGAUUUUUGACCUGAGCCCAAUAUCAUAGAAGAACCAUUCUUGCAUCAGAUUGGAUUUUGGACAUGAGCUCGAUAUCAUAGAAGAACAAUUCUUGCAUUCAUUUGGAUUUUUGACCUGAGCCCCAUAUCAUAGAAGAACCAUUCUUGCAUCAGAUUGGAUUUUGGACAUGAGCUCGAUAUCAUAGAAGAACAAUUCUUGCAUUCAUUUGGAUUUUUGACCUGAGCCCAAUAUCAUAGAAGAACCAUUCUUGCAUCAGAUUGGAUUUUGGACAUGAGCUCGAUAUCAUAGAAGAACAAUUCUUGCAUUCAUUUGGAUUUUUGACCUGAGCCCCAUAUCAUAGAAGAACCAUUCUUGCAUCAGAUUGGAUUUUGGACAUGAGCUCGAUAUCAUAGAAGAACAAUUCUUGCAUUCAUUUG